CUAGAAGUAUUGCGUUCUCAGGGUACAUGGAUGCAUUCAGAGCAUAUUCAUUGAUGGGAUUAUUUCCCUUCGUAAUGGGAACCAUGCAUUUUGAGGGAAUUACAAGAUUUUGCAGGUAAUCCCUAGUUGGUGAUGGCAUUAUAUUUGAUGAAUGUCCUUGUUGUUUUGAAAAUGUAAGGUAUGUUGGUAAUUUAAUGUAAAGGUAAUGUAAAAUCUAAGGUAUGUUGCUGAUGUAAAGCUAAUGUCAAAUGUAAGGUAUGUUGGUAAUUUAAUGUAAAGGUUAUGUAAAAUGUAAGGUAUGUUGGUAAUUUAAUGUAAAGGUUAUGUAAAAUGUAAGGUAUGUUGGUAAUUUAAUGUAAAGGUUAUGUAAAAUGUAAGGUAUGUUGGUAAUUUAAUGUAAUUUAAUGUAAAAUGUAAGGUAUGUUGGUAAUUUAAUGUAAAGGUUAUAUAAAAUGUAAGGUAUGUUGGUAAUUUAAUGUAAAGGUUAUAUAAAAUGUAAGGUAUGUUGGUAAUUUAAUGUAAAGGUAAUGUUGUAAAAUGUAAGGUAUGUUGGUAAUUUAAUGUAAAGGUUAUAUAAAAUGUAAGGUAUGUUGGUAAUUUAAUGUAAAGGUAAUGUUGUAAAAUGUAAGGUAUGUUGGUAAUUUAAUGUAAUUUAAUGUCAAAUGUAAGGUAUGUUGUAAAGGAGUUGCAAAAGUAAAUGAGAAAAACUAAGAAAUGAUGACUUGACUGUCAUGGGAAUAUAACACUAUAACAGUAACACAAUGUAGAUACAAGGCACAUGAGGUUUCAUAUCCUUUAUUUAGUUCCCUCUUUUACUAAGAGCUU
This is a long non-coding RNA of Clupea harengus (Atlantic herring), 825 nucleotides long. The record is from Ensembl. NCBI's taxonomy places the organism in Eukaryota, Metazoa, Chordata, Actinopteri, Clupeiformes, Clupeidae.